UGCAGUCGAGCGGAACGAUGAUAGCUUGCUAUCAGGCGUCGAGCGGCGGACGGGUGAGUAAUACUUAGGAAUCUACCUAGUAGUGGGGGAUAGCACGGGGAAACUCGUAUUAAUACCGCAUACGACCUACGGGAGAAAGGGGGCAGUUUACUGCUCUCGCUAUUAGAUGAGCCUAAGUCGGAUUAGCUAGAUGGUGGGGUAAAGGCCUACCAUGGCGACGAUCUGUAGCUGGUCUGAGAGGAUGAUCAGCCACACCGGGACUGAGACACGGCCCGGACUCCUACGGGAGGCAGCAGUGGGGAAUAUUGGACAAUGGGGGAAACCCUGAUCCAGCCAUGCCGCGUGUGUGAAGAAGGCCUUUUGGUUGUAAAGCACUUUAAGCAGUGAAGAAGACUCCGUGGUUAAUACCCACGGACGAUGACAUUAGCUGCAGAAUAAGCACCGGCUAACUCUGUGCCAGCAGCCGCGGUAAUACAGAGGGUGCAAGCGUUAAUCGGAAUUACUGGGCGUAAAGGGAGCGUAGGUGGCUCGAUAAGUCAGAUGUGAAAUCCCCGGGCUCAACCUGGGAACUGCAUCUGAUACUGUUGAGCUAGAGUAUGUGAGAGGAAGGUAGAAUUCCAGGUGUAGCGGUGAAAUGCGUAGAGAUCUGGAGGAAUACCGAUGGCGAAGGCAGCCUUCUGGCAUAAUACUGACACUGAGGCUCGAAAGCGUGGGUAGCAAACAGGAUUAGAUACCCUGGUAGUCCACGCCGUAAACGAUGUCUACUAGUCGUUGGGUCCCUUGAGGACUUAGUGACGCAGCUAACGCAAUAAGUAGACCGCCUGGGGAGUACGGCCGCAAGGUUAAAACUCAAAUGAAUUGACGGGGGCCCGCACAAGCGGUGGAGCAUGUGGUUUAAUUCGAUGCAACGCGAAGAACCUUACCUGGUCUUGACAUAUCUAGAAUCCUGCAGAGAUGCGGGAGUGCCUUCGGGAAUUAGAAUACAGGUGCUGCAUGGCUGUCGUCAGCUCGUGUCGUGAGAUGUUGGGUUAAGUCCCGCAACGAGCGCAACCCUUGUCCUUAGUUACCAGCGGGUUAAGCCGGGAACUCUAAGGAUACUGCCAGUGACAAACUGGAGGAAGGCGGGGACGACGUCAAGUCAUCAUGGCCCUUACGACCAGGGCUACACACGUGCUACAAUGGUAGGUACAGAGGGCAGCUACACAGCGAUGUGAUGCGAAUCUCAAAAAGCCUAUCGUAGUCCAGAUUGGAGUCUGCAACUCGACUCCAUGAAGUAGGAAUCGCUAGUAAUCGCGGAUCAGAAUGCCGCGGUGAAUACGUUCCCGGGCCUUGUACACACCGCCCGUCACACCAUGGGAGUUGA
This 1363-nucleotide ribosomal RNA is filed under the name Psychrobacter fozii. RNAcentral's name for it is "bacterial SSU rRNA". It matches the Rfam family "Bacterial small subunit ribosomal RNA", at positions 56 to 1414 of the family's 1533-position model. Lineage: Bacteria; Pseudomonadati; Pseudomonadota; Gammaproteobacteria; Moraxellales; Moraxellaceae. The record is from RNAcentral.